Molecule: long non-coding RNA, 641 nt
Filed under: Carica papaya (papaya)
Lineage: Eukaryota; Viridiplantae; Streptophyta; Magnoliopsida; Brassicales; Caricaceae
Description: long non-coding RNA (CPAP_LNC007737)
Source: RNAcentral
UAGAAGUAGAGGUGCGGUAUACACGCAUAGGGAAAUAAAUGACAUGAGGGGGGAGAGAAAGAGAAAGGGUAGAUAUAUUUGCAACGCGGUAUGGGACGGGUGCGAUCAUACCUUAUAACUUGUAGAGGUUAAAUUAAGUUUUAUUAUCUUGGAGUCAAUUGAUCAUAGACAUGACUGGCCAGAAUCUCAAGGACUUCUUCCUUACUUUGAGUUUCUACCUUCAAGUGCAAGGUGGCAAUAAGGGAGAUGAAGUACUCAUAAGGUAACAAGGCUGGUUUAGUCUUAAUAUGUCCUUCAUUUUUUCAAAGUUAAUGUGGGUUAGGUUCAUAGGUUUUCCAAUCACUAAGUGCCACAUUAUCAAUGCUUUCAUAAUGGAUACUCAUGUGAUAACACUAGAAUAGGGGAAAAUGUUUUUCCUAAUUAUGUGAUGCAAGAUUGAAGAUGUUAAAGAAAGUCUUCAACUGUAGGCUUCCUAGUUUUAGAAAAAUCUAGGUUUCUAAUCAAAAGCGUGAAGACGUCUAAGUACAAAAAUUUUAAAAUAUUUGUUGGUCACGUGCCUUAUCUUCAUAAAAAGUGGCUCCCUCGCAUAGAGUUAGCAUCUACCGAGCCAAUUUUUUAAUGCUUACCUCUAGAGAUACAUU